This is a non-coding RNA of Perkinsus marinus ATCC 50983, 70 nucleotides long. NCBI's taxonomy places the organism in Eukaryota, Perkinsozoa, Perkinsida, Perkinsidae. The record is from Rfam.
AACUCUCAACGAUGGAUGCCUCGGCUCGAGAAUCGAUGAAGGACGCAGCGAAGUGCGAUAAGCACUGCGA